UUAGGCUGGGUAUUCCAAACCUUUGUGUCAAGAGGCUUGUAUAAUGCAUAAGGUGGAACAUAGCGACCAUGUCGUAAAGUUAUAUGACUGGUUUGAAAUGAAAGAUCACGACAUGGAAUAUCCACAUACCAGCAUAACCUUGUUUGAUUUCAUCAAACAAAACAGAGGUCGUCUGACUGAAGCAAAAGCUAAAGACAUCAUGCAGAAAGUCAUCGCUGUGAUAGAGCACUGCAUGGAUCAGGGUGUUUAUCAUAAUGACAUAAGCCUGAGAAACAUACUCAACAUCCCAUACACCAUGAAGAUCAAGUUAACAGGCUUUGGCAGAGCACUGCACAUCAAAAAAAGUUGAAGAGACAAAUCUACAUCAAUGAUAGAGAGGAGAUGUCGCGCUGUAAUAGCAGCAACUGAAGACUUAUACAGAGUGCUGAAGGGGAUGGUCAAAGGAAAAAGUGGUUUGAAUUUGAAACCUUUGUUUGGUAGGAAAAAAGCAGACUUGUCCAAAGAAUGCCUGGAUCUACUUCAGAGACUUCGUGACAGAGAGUCAGGGAUCAUCUUACAGAUGACUGGUUUAAAGAAGUCCGAGUCGUCAGACAGAAUGGAUCAGUUCUCAAUCAUCGACCAGCGCUACAGAUGAACAUGCGCAGAACAACCCGAGA
This is a non-coding RNA of Pimephales promelas (fathead minnow), 656 nucleotides long. The record is from RefSeq and is a predicted model, not a curated record. NCBI's taxonomy places the organism in Eukaryota, Metazoa, Chordata, Actinopteri, Cypriniformes, Leuciscidae.